GAUAAAGUGACUGUUGAUUUAGUA
Molecule: non-coding RNA, 24 nt
Filed under: Arabidopsis thaliana (thale cress)
Lineage: Eukaryota; Viridiplantae; Streptophyta; Magnoliopsida; Brassicales; Brassicaceae
Source: RNAcentral